GAUGAACGCUGGCGGCGUGCCUAAUACAUGCAAGUCGAGCGAACAGACGAGGAGCUUGCUCCUCUGACGUUAGCGGCGGACGGGUGAGUAACACGUGGAUAACCUACCUAUAAGACUGGGAUAAUUUCGGGAAACCGGAGCUAAUACCGGAUAAUAUAUUGAACCGCAUGGUUUAAUAGUGAAAGACGGUUUUGCUGUCACUUAUAGAUGGAUCCGCGCCGCAUUAGCUAGUUGGUAAGGUAACGGCUUACCAAGGCAACGAUGCGUAGCCGACCUGAGAGGGUGAUCGGCCACACUGGAACUGAGACACGGUCCAGACUCCUACGGGAGGCAGCAGUAGGGAAUCUUCCGCAAUGGGCGAAAGCCUGACGGAGCAACGCCGCGUGAGUGAUGAAGGUCUUCGGAUCGUAAAACUCUGUUAUUAGGGAAGAACAAAUGUGUAAGUAACUAUGCACGUCUUGACGGUACCUAAUCAGAAAGCCACGGCUAACUACGUG
RNAcentral lists this ribosomal RNA (497 nucleotides) under uncultured bacterium. RNAcentral describes it as "partial 16S ribosomal RNA". It matches the Rfam family "Bacterial small subunit ribosomal RNA", at positions 28 to 507 of the family's 1533-position model. The record is from RNAcentral.